GACGAACGCUGGCGGCGUGCUUAACACAUGCAAGUCGAACGGUAAGGCCCUUCGGGGUACACGAGUGGCGAACGGGUGAGUAACACGUGGGUGAUCUGCCCUGCACUUCGGGAUAAGCCUGGGAAACUGGGUCUAAUACCGGAUAGGACCCUGGGAUGCAUGUCCUGGGGUGGAAAGCUUUUGCGGUGUGGGAUGGGCCCGCGGCCUAUCAGCUUGUUGGUGGGGUGAUGGCCUACCAAGGCGACGACGGGUAGCCGACCUGAGAGGGUGACCGGCCACACUGGGACUGGGAUACGGACCAGACUCGUACGGGAGGAAGCAGUGGGGAAUAUUGCACAAUGGGCGCAAGCCUGAUGCAGCGACGCCGCGUGAGGGAUGACGGCCUUCGGGUUGUAAACCUCUUUCAGCACCGACGAAGCGCAAGUGACGGUAGGUGCAGAAGAAGGACCGGCCAACUACGUGCCAGCCGCCGCGGUAA
This 478-nucleotide ribosomal RNA is filed under the name uncultured bacterium. RNAcentral's name for it is "partial 16S ribosomal RNA". It matches the Rfam family "Bacterial small subunit ribosomal RNA", at positions 28 to 523 of the family's 1533-position model. The record is from RNAcentral.